CCUACGGGAGGCAGCAGUAAGGAAUAUUGGUCAAUGGGCGCAAGCCUGAACCAGCCAUGCCGCGUGCAGGAAGACGGCCCUAUGGGUUGUAAACUGCUUUUGAACAAGAGAAAACCUCGGUACGUGUACCGAGCUGAUAGUAUUGUUAGAAUAAGCAUCGGCUAACUUCGUGCCAGCAGCCGCGGUAAGACGAAGGAUGCAAGCGUUAUCCGGAUUCAUUGGGUUUAAAGGGUGCGUAGGCGGCCUGAUAAGUCAGUGGUGAAAUCUCUCAGCUUAACUGAGAAACUGCCAUUGAUACUGUCGGGCUUGAGUACAGAUGAUGUGGGCGGAAUAUGACAUGUAGUGGUGAAAUACUUAGAUAUGUCAUAGAACACCGAUUGCGAAGGCAGCUCACAAAACUGUAACUGACGCUGAGGCACGAAAGUGCGGGGAUCAAACAGGAUUAGAUACCCUGGUAGUCCGCACCGUAAACGAUGAUUACUCGUUGUUGGCAAUAUGACCGUCAGCGACCAAGCGAAAGCGAUAAGUAAUCCACCUGGGGAGUACGCCGGCACGGUGAAACUCAAAGGAUUGACGGCGNGAGAGNGCGACGACGCGACGAGGGAGGAGG
This 610-nucleotide ribosomal RNA is filed under the name uncultured bacterium. RNAcentral's name for it is "bacterial SSU rRNA". It matches the Rfam family "Bacterial small subunit ribosomal RNA", at positions 338 to 944 of the family's 1533-position model. The record is from RNAcentral.